AUUGAACGCUGGCGGCAGGCUUAACACAUGCAAGUCGAGCGGAGUGAUGGUGCUUGCACUAUCACUUAGCGGCGGACGGGUGAGUAAUGCUUAGGAAUCUGCCUAUUAGUGGGGGACAACAUCUCGAAAGGGAUGCUAAUACCGCAUACGUCCUACGGGAGAAAGCAGGGGAUCACUUGUGACCUUGCGCUAAUAGAUGAGCCUAAGUCGGAUUAGCUAGUUGGUGGGGUAAAGGCCUACCAAGGCGACGAUCUGUAGCGGGUCUGAGAGGAUGAUCCGCCACACUGGGACUGGAACACGGCCCAGACUCCUACGGGAGGCAGCAGUGGGGAAUAUUGGACAAUGGGGGGAACCCUGAUCCAGCCAUGCCGCGUGUGUGAAGAAGGCCUUAUGGUUGUAAAGCACUUUAAGCGAGGAGGAGGCUCUUUUGGUUAAUACCCAAGAUGAGUGGACGUUACUCGCAGAAUAAGCACCGGCUAACUCUGUGCCAGCAGCCGCAGUAA
This 503-nucleotide ribosomal RNA is filed under the name uncultured bacterium. Its description in RNAcentral is "partial 16S ribosomal RNA". It matches the Rfam family "Bacterial small subunit ribosomal RNA", at positions 30 to 523 of the family's 1533-position model. The record is from RNAcentral.